GUAGGUGGCAAGCGUUGUCCGGAAUUAUUGGGCGUAAAGCGCGCGCAGGUGGUUCUUUAAGUCUGAUGUGAAAGCCCCCGGCUCAACCGGGGAGGGCCAUUGGAAACUGGGGAACUUGAGUGCAGGAGAGGAAAGUGGAAUUCCACGUGUAGCGGUGAAAUGCGUAGAUAUGUGGAGGAACACCAGUGGCGAAGGCGACUUUCUGGCCUGUAACUGACACUGAGGCGCGAAAGCGUGGGGAGCAAACAGGGAUUAGAUACCCUGGUAGUCCGCGCCGUAAACGAUGAGUGCUAAGUGUUGGGGGGGUUUCCCGCCCCUCAGUGCUGCAGCUAACGCAUUAAGCACUCCGCCUGGGGAUACGGUCGCAAGACUG
This 373-nucleotide ribosomal RNA is filed under the name uncultured organism. RNAcentral's name for it is "partial 16S ribosomal RNA". It matches the Rfam family "Bacterial small subunit ribosomal RNA", at positions 527 to 896 of the family's 1533-position model. The record is from RNAcentral.